CUAAAAUAAGAGAGGAGUUCCAAUUUCCAAAUAUGUUAAACAAUAGAGUUACAAUCAGAUAUAUGUUUGAUCCAAUUGAAAGUGUUUAAACUAAUAUCAUCAACCAUAAUCAUGAUCGUCCGUUUUUUGUUUCAGAAAACAAUCGCAUUCUUGUCCUUCCAUAUCAUCCGGAGAGUGGUGUAGACUAAAGAAAAACGCAGCUUCUUGAUUUUUUUUACUCCCCACAUCAGAUUUAAACAUAUUCAAUAAGUCAUCACAGGAAUUAGGCAGCCUCAUAAGAAAUGAAGACGAGGUCACCACACCAGCUAUGUCCACAGAACCGCAGCGAAAGAAGAAUAGGAGAAAAAAACAUGAUCAAUGCUCUCAUUAGUUUCUUUGCAAAAAGGACAUAAGGUAGACGAGACAUUAAUUCCAUAUAUAACUAAGCUUAAGAAAGUAGGAAUUAUGUUUUUAGUCAAUCUCCAAACAAAAUAGUUGAAUUUUAAAGGGACCGAUUUUACCUAAUUGAAAGAAUCCAAAGUCUUAUUACUAGACUGAAUUGUCAUCACCUUUCUUAAAGCUUUUACCGAAAACACAUCUCCACCGUCGCCUCCCCAAAUCCACUUGUAACAGUUGUCAUCAAACCUGAAAACAAUGAUCUGAUCCGCUAAUGCCUGAAACUAACGUGUUUCCCUCCUACCUCUAAGUUGUCUCGCCCAGUCCCAAGAAAAGGACGAAAUAUGCACAUUCAUAAUAUUGACUCUCUUCCAAAAUACAUUCUUUCUUUUUCUCAAUUGCAUAAAAGUUUGGAUGAGCAUCUUUUAAAGUUAUAUCACGACACCAAUGAUCCUUCCAAAAGAGUGUUUUGUCGCUGUUUCCAACAACUCUUUUAAAAAAAUUAUCAAUAUAGAUACCACUUUCAAAAUCACAGUUGAUUUGAGAAAUACUUAAUCAAACACCUUUGAUAGACUUAUUGGUUAUCAAUCUACCAUCAAUAAGCUUAAUAUUAUAAAUAACUUUUAUAUGAGAAAACCAAAAAAUAAUCAUACCCAUUUUUCAAUCUUCACCACCACUUGGCGAAAAGUGUCAAGUUAGCCGAAUAAAGACACCCAACUCCAAGACCUCCCAACGCCUUUAGUUUAAUAACCACCUCCCAAGUCACCCAAUUGAUUUUCCUCUUGUCUUCACCUCCCAUAGAAGUUGUCUCCUAAUGUCUUCCAACACAUUAACAAAUUUUUUUGGGGGGUGGGGAGGGGGGGCAAAAAGGAGAGAAAAUAUAUAAAGGAAGGCUCUUAAGGACCAAAUUUAAUAAGGUGGUCCGACCACCAAAGGAGAGACAUUUUUCUUUCAUUUCUCACAAUAGCAUAAUUUCAUUUCGG
Molecule: long non-coding RNA, 1358 nt
Filed under: Lactuca sativa (garden lettuce)
Lineage: Eukaryota; Viridiplantae; Streptophyta; Magnoliopsida; Asterales; Asteraceae
Description: long non-coding RNA (LSAT_LNC005802)
Source: RNAcentral